This 619-nucleotide ribosomal RNA is filed under the name Microbacterium sp. Ri3Pw_6428. RNAcentral describes it as "bacterial SSU rRNA". It matches the Rfam family "Bacterial small subunit ribosomal RNA", at positions 395 to 1027 of the family's 1533-position model. The record is from RNAcentral. Lineage: Bacteria; Bacillati; Actinomycetota; Actinomycetes; Micrococcales; Microbacteriaceae.
CGCCGCGUGAGGGAUGACGGCCUUCGGGUUGUAAACCUCUUUUAGCAGGGAAGAAGCGAAAGUGACGGUACCUGCAGAAAAAGCGCCGGCUAACUACGUGCCAGCAGCCUCGGUAAUACGUAGGGCGCAAGCGUUAUCCGGAAUUAUUGGGCGUAAAGAGCUCGUAGGCGGUUUGUCGCGUCUGCUGUGAAAUCCCGAGGCUCAACUUCGGGUCUGCAGUGGGUACGGGCAGACUAGAGUGCGGUAGGGGAGAUUGGAAUUCCUGGUGUAGCGGUGGAAUGCGCAGAUAUCAAGAGGAACACCGAUGGCGAAAGCAGAUCUCUGGGCCGUAACUGACUCUGAGGAGCGAAAGGGUGGGGAGCAAACAGGCAUAGAUACCCUGGUAGUCCACCCCGUAAACGUUGGGAACUAGUUGUGGGGUCCAUUCCACGGAUUCCGUGACGCAGCUAACGCAUUAAGUUCCCCGCCUGGGGAGUACGGGCGCAAGGCUAAAACUCAAAGGAAUUGACGGGGACCCGCACAAGCGGCGGAGCAUGCGGAUUAAUUCGAUGCAACGCGAAGAACCUUACCAAGGCUUGACAUAUACUAGAACGCUGCAGAAAUGUAGAACUCUUUGGAC